UGAGUUUAGUAUAUUAUCGCACCUCUCAAUAGGAAGGGUCUUAAAAAAUUAAUCUUUUUAAUAUUAUUAAAAUGAGUUUUUAAGCUUUUGUAAAAAAAAUUAUAUUAUUUUUAGGGUAAACAGCCGAAAACCCUCCUGGACUAUAUCGACUAUCGAAAUGUCCCUCCUUGAUUAUUUUUUUCAGCCAAUUUAGCCUUCAAAUUAAAAGAAAUCUCCA
This 217-nucleotide long non-coding RNA is filed under the name Prunus persica (peach). RNAcentral's name for it is "long non-coding RNA (PPER_LNC002703)". The record is from RNAcentral. Lineage: Eukaryota; Viridiplantae; Streptophyta; Magnoliopsida; Rosales; Rosaceae.